This 2012-nucleotide small RNA is filed under the name Salmonella enterica subsp. enterica serovar Typhimurium str. LT2. RNAcentral's name for it is "bacterial LSU rRNA". It matches the Rfam family "Bacterial large subunit ribosomal RNA", at positions 1 to 1950 of the family's 2925-position model. Lineage: Bacteria; Pseudomonadati; Pseudomonadota; Gammaproteobacteria; Enterobacterales; Enterobacteriaceae. The record is from RNAcentral.
GGUUAAGCGACUAAGCGUACACGGUGGAUGCCCUGGCAGUCAGAGGCGAUGAAGGGCGUGCUAAUCUGCGAUAAGCGCCGGUAAGGUGAUAUGAACCGUUAUAACCGGCGAUACCCGAAUGGGGAAACCCAGUGUGAUUCGUCACACUAUCAUUAACUGAAUCCAUAGGUUAAUGAGGCGAACCGGGGGAACUGAAACAUCUAAGUACCCCGAGGAAAAGAAAUCAACCGAGAUUCCCCCAGUAGCGGCGAGCGAACGGGGAGGAGCCCAGAGCCUGAAUCAGCAUGUGUGUUAGUGGAAGCGUCUGGAAAGGUGCGCGAUACAGGGUGACAGCCCCGUACACAAAAGCGCAUGUGCUGUGAGCUCGAUGAGUAGGGCGGGACACGUGGUAUCCUGUCUGAAUAUGGGGGGACCAUCCUCCAAGGCUAAAUACUCCUGACUGACCGAUAGUGAACCAGUACCGUGAGGGAAAGGCGAAAAGAACCCCGGCGAGGGGAGUGAAAAAGAACCUGAAACCGUGUACGUACAAGCAGUGGGAGCACAGGUUUACCUGUGUGACUGCGUACCUUUUGUAUAAUGGGUCAGCGACUUAUAUUCUGUAGCAAGGUUAACCGUAUAGGGGAGCCGUAGGGAAACCGAGUCUUAACCGGGCGUUAAGUUGCAGGGUAUAGACCCGAAACCCGGUGAUCUAGCCAUGGGCAGGUUGAAGGUUGGGUAACACUAACUGGAGGACCGAACCGACUAAUGUUGAAAAAUUAGCGGAUGACCUGUGGCUGGGGGUGAAAGGCCAAUCAAACCGGGAGAUAGCUGGUUCUCCCCGAAAGCUAUUUAGGUAGCGCCUCGUGAAUUCAUCUCCGGGGGUAGAGCACUGUUUCGGCUAGGGGGCCAUCCCGGCUUACCAACCCGAUGCAAACUGCGAAUACCGGAGAAUGUUAUCACGGGAGACACACGGCGGGUGCUAACGUCCGUCGUGAAGAGGGAAACAACCCAGACCGCCAGCUAAGGUCCCAAAGUCAUGGUUAAGUGGGAAACGAUGUGGGAAGGCCCAGACAGCCAGGAUGUUGGCUUAGAAGCAGCCAUCAUUUAAAGAAAGCGUAAUAGCUCACUGGUCGAGUCGGCCUGCGCGGAAGAUGUAACGGGGCUAAACCAUGCACCGAAGCUGCGGCAGCGAACGUAUCACCCAAGACAACUUUACGGAGUUGACGAUUGACGGAGCGAAGCGACGUCAAAGCGUUCAUUAAAGUCGAGUUGGCUUAGGGAUACGUUCGUUGGGUAGGGGAGCGUUCUGUAAGCCUGUGAAGGUGUGUCGUGAGGCAUGCUGGAGGUAUCAGAAGUGCGAAUGCUGACAUAAGUAACGAUAAAGCGGGUGAAAAGCCCGCUCGCCGGAAGACCAAGGGUUCCUGUCCAACGUUAAUCGGGGCAGGGUGAGUCGACCCCUAAGGCGAGGCCGAAAGGCGUAGUCGAUGGGAAACGGGUUAAUAUUCCCGUACUUGGUGUUACUGCGAAGGGGGGACGGAGAAGGCUAUGUUGGCCGGGCGACGGUUGUCCCGGUUUAAGCGUGUAGGUGUGUGUUCCAGGUAAAUCCGGUUCACUUUAACACUGAGGCGUGACGACGAGGCACUACGGUGCUGAAGCAACAAAUGCCCUGCUUCCAGGAAAAGCCUCUAAGCAUCAGGUAACACGAAAUCGUACCCCAAACCGACACAGGUGGUCAGGUAGAGAAUACCAAGGCGCUUGAGAGAACUCGGGUGAAGGAACUAGGCAAAAUGGUGCCGUAACUUCGGGAGAAGGCACGCUGACACGUAGGUGAAGUGAUUUACUCAUGGAGCUGAAGUCAGUCGAAGAUACCAGCUGGCUGCAACUGUUUAUUAAAAACACAGCACUGUGCAAACACGAAAGUGGACGUAUACGGUGUGACGCCUGCCCGGUGCCGGAAGGUUAAUUGAUGGGGUCAGCGCAAGCGAAGCUCCUGAUCGAAGCCCCGGUAAACGGCGGCCGUAACUAUAACGGUC